GGGGAGAGGAGAGGGUGGCUGAGGGUCUCUUUCUGUGGGGGGAGAGGAGAGGGUGGCUGAGGGUCUCUUUAUGAGGGAGAGGAGGAGAGGGUGGCUGAGGGUCUCUUUCUGUGGGGAGGAGGGAGAGGGUGGCUGAUGGUCUCUUUAUGUGGGGAGGGGAGAGGAGAGGGUGGCUGAUGGUCUCUUUAUGUGGGGAGAGGAGAGGGUGGCUGAUGGUCUCUUUCUGUGGGGAGGGGAGAGGGUGGCUGAUGGUCUCCAUGUGGGGGGAGGAGAGGGUGGCUGAUGGUCUCUUUAUGAGGGGAGAGGAGAGGGUGGCUGAUGGUCUCUUUAUGAGAGGAGGAGAGGGUGGCUGAUGGUCUCUUUAUG
Long non-coding RNA from Oncorhynchus tshawytscha (Chinook salmon), 366 nucleotides. Lineage: Eukaryota; Metazoa; Chordata; Actinopteri; Salmoniformes; Salmonidae. The record is from Ensembl.